Molecule: long non-coding RNA, 428 nt
Organism: Salvia miltiorrhiza (redroot sage)
Lineage: Eukaryota; Viridiplantae; Streptophyta; Magnoliopsida; Lamiales; Lamiaceae
Exons: 3
Source: RefSeq, a predicted model, not a curated record
AAUAUUAAUUCAAUCAUUUAGGCACACUAUACCAAGAGAAACAGGACCUUGUGGAAGAAACAUCAAAGAAGACUAAAAUAACCCAAGCUAAGGACAAACAAGUAACUAAGGCAAAGAAGGCGAAGAAAAUGAAGUCUAAUAGCAUAUCUGAUCCAUCCCACCAACUUACUGAAGUGGUUGUCGAGCAUAACAAAGGCAAAAGAGUUCCACAAACACCAACACUCAAGUCAAGGAGUGGCAGAACAAUCAGGCGAAGAAUAUUGGACUAAUGAAGUGAAAGAUUUUAUGAGACUUUGAAGAAACUUUUGUAUGUACUUUGUACAAUUAUCUAGCUAUGACUUUUGGCUCUACUAGCAUUUUGAGGUUACCUUUUGUAUGUACAUUGUAUAUGCCUCGAUGCAGUUUUUGUUUAAUGUGAUAUGUAUAUA